UAGGGAAUCUUCGGCAAUGGGGGCAACCCUGACCGAGCAACGCCGCGUGAGUGAAGAAGGUUUUCGGAUCGUAAAGCUCUGUUGUAAGAGAAGAACGUGUGUGAGAGUGGAAAGAUCACACAGUGACGGUAACUUACCAGAAAGGGCCGGCUAACUACGUGCCAGCAGCCGCGGUAAUACGUAGGUCCCGAGCGUUGUCCGGAUUUAUUGGGCGUAAAGCGAGCGCAGGCGGUUUAAUAAGUCUGAAGUUAAAGGCAGUGGCUUAACCAUUGUUCGCUUUGGAAACUGUUAGACUUGAGUGCAGGAGAGGAGAGUGGAAUUCCAGGUGUAGCGGUGAAAUGCGUAGAUAUAUGGAGGAACACCGGUGGCGAAGGCGGCUCUCUGGUCUGUAACUGACGCUGAGGCGCGAAAGCGAGGGGAGCAAACAGG
This 429-nucleotide ribosomal RNA is filed under the name bacterium. RNAcentral's name for it is "partial 16S ribosomal RNA". It matches the Rfam family "Bacterial small subunit ribosomal RNA", at positions 355 to 776 of the family's 1533-position model. The record is from RNAcentral.